This 859-nucleotide ribosomal RNA is filed under the name uncultured marine bacterium. RNAcentral describes it as "bacterial SSU rRNA". It matches the Rfam family "Bacterial small subunit ribosomal RNA", at positions 8 to 916 of the family's 1533-position model. The record is from RNAcentral.
AGAGUUUGAUCCUGGCUCAGAACGAACGCUGGCGGCAGGCCUAACACAUGCAAGACGAGCGCGCUUUCGGGUGAGCGGCGGACGGGUUAGUAACGCGUGGGAACGUGCCCUUCUCUACGGAAUAGCCUCUGGAAACGGAGAGUAAUACCGUAUACGCCCUUUGGGGGAAAGAUUUAUCGGAGAAGGAUCGGCCCGCGUUAGAUUAGGUAGUUGGUGGGGUAAUGGCCUACCAAGCCUACGAUCUAUAGCUGGUUUUAGAGGAUGAUCAGCAACACUGGGACUGAGACACGGCCCAGACUCCUACGGGAGGCAGCAGUGGGGAAUCUUAGACAAUGGGGGCAACCCUGAUCUAGCCAUGCCGCGUGAGUGAUGAAGGCCUUAGGGUCGUAAAGCUCUUUCGCCUGUGAUGAUAAUGACAGUAGCAGGUAAAGAAACCCCGGCUAACUCCGUGCCAGCAGCCGCGGUAAUACGGAGGGGGUUAGCGUUGUUCGGAAUUACUGGGCGUAAAGCGCGCGUAGGCGGAUUAGAAAGUUGGGGGUGAAAUCCCGGGGCUCAACCUCGGAACUGCCUCCAAAACUGCUAGUCUAGAGUUCGAGAGAGGUGAGUGGAAUUCCGAGUGUAGAGGUGAAAUUCGUAGAUAUUCGGAGGAACACCAGUGGCGAAGGCGGCUCACUGGCUCGAUACUGACGCUGAGGUGCGAAAGUGUGGGGAGCAAACAGGAUUAGAUACCCUGGUAGUCCACACCGUAAACGGUGAAUGCCAGUCGUCGGGUAGUAUACUAUUCGGUGACACACCUAACGGAUUAGGCAUUCCGCCUGGGGAGUACGGUCGCAAGAUUAAAACUCAAAGGAAUUGACGG